UCAAAAGCCUCUGGCGGCUCAGAUUUGGCCCACAGUCUGCCUGUUGACUACCCUGCACUAGGGCUUAAGCGACCAGAUGCCUAGAGGGAGGCAGCAGUGCACUUGCCCAGAGGCAGAAACUUAGGGGCCUAUGAAACUUUUACAGCAGAAAUUUAGGCUCCAAAUGAAUUUAGGCACCUAGAGAGUUAGGCAACAGCCAAGUAGGGGUUUUGUGGAUCUCAGUGGUGCCUAAAACUGAGACUUAGGUGCCUAAACCCCUGUGUGGAUCUGGGCCUAUAUGGAAAAAAAAACUUUAGUAAGUAUGAGUGUGGAAGGUCUCUUGCCUGAACUGAGGGGCAAGGUAGUAAGAGAGCCUGGUGCUGUCUUUUAUAGACUUCUGGCUAUGAGGAAUUAUUUAGGGUGCUCAAAAGUGGUAUAACUGGGAGCAACAUGAUGGAAUAAGGAAGAAAAAUUAGGCUGAAUAGGACAAAAAAACUUCCUGUUGGUGAGAGCUAUUCAAAUGGAAAUAGUAGAAACCUUAUUAUUUUGGAUUCUUAAAAUUAGACUGGAGAAAGCACUAGAAAACAGCAUAACAAACAGUCUUGCAAUGGCUAGGGGAUGGCAUCAAUAUGACCUAAUAGGUCUUUUCCAUCUCUAACUUCUACUAAGUCAGGGUUCAGGAAGCUUUUUGCCAUCUGGACUAGUCCUUCAAAACCAGACUUUAGGGCUGAUUUCCCCUUCUAAAUGAUGAUUUUGUCACCUACGGUUACAGCAUCUUCCAUUAUUCAGCUGAUCUUACUCAGUUUAUCUUUGGGUUUCUAACUGAAAUUUUCCCUGGAGCAACAGUUUUCAGAUCUAAAUUCUUCUAGUCAUUUUCACUGUGCUGUGCCCCUCUUGUACAAGAGGGAUACAGCACAAUGGUCACAGAUGAGACAAGACAGCAGUUACCUUUAGGCAAGAAUUACUAGUCUAGCUCCACUGAUACAGACAGUAAGAGAUAGGCAUAGGAGAGGACAUUAUUCUAACAACAUGGCAUCUCUUGGUGCUUAAUGCUGGUGCAGAUGAAUGUGAUCUAAGCAUAAGGAUGGUAAGCCCAUGGCUUGUAAACCCAGCCCUAGCACCAACUGUCUUUGUGUCCUUCAGCAAUUAAUUUAACCUCUACCUCAAUUUUUCCCUCUCUAAAGUGGAGAUAAUACCAAAGAAUUUUAAAUUGUAUUUGCUGUUCAGUGGCCUAUGUGAAAUGAUUUCGUUGGGUCUCAGCCUUAAUGCACAAGUGUCCCUGUCACUUGUUUAGCCUCUUCACAGAGGCCCAGAAUUGAAUGGGCCAUAGGGACUCAAUGAACACCACUCACCCCUAAAAGUGUGGGCAUCCCUGCAAGUCAGGUUUGAAGCAUACUGCCAGAGUAGCACUGUGUUUGGCAAGCUCAGGCCAGUCCCACAGGAUGCAGGGUUGUAUUAUGAUUAAGAGACGAUUCCCCACUUCACCAUGUGGUGGCACCACCAGCAAAUGUAAAAUCAAUACUGUACUUGGAACUACUGUAUGUGUCACAAGCUGGGACACUGACAACCUGUAACAUAGCCUGUGCUUGUCAACAAGCAGGUGUUUCCAAACCAUUUUAAUAACAAAAACUAAUGUGUGUUCUUUUAGGAUGGAGAAGGGGAAUUCUCUGGUAUGCUCUAAUAUUCCCCAUUGUGCUGAUGUUCUUCCAGCCUGAAAAGAGCAGAAUCAUGCAACUGGUCACUUAAGCAACAUGAGGCUCCCUUAAGAGCCUGGUGGUCUCUCUAUCUAAGGGGCCAAAAUGCAUGAAGUUCAUAUUUUGCAAACUGACAUAAAACAAAUGGCCAGAUGUACAUUGCCAUCUGAGCACAGGACUGGGAAUCGGGAGACAUGGAUUUUAGUCUCAAGUCUGCCACUGACUGGCUGUGAGCUUUGUGACCUUGGGUUGAUUCGAUCUGGCCUCCCUCUGCCUAUUUUGGCCAAGAAAUCUUGAGGCUUAAUCUCCACUUCCUUCUGCCUAAUUCUUGAAAGACAACAGAAGCGAUUUUUCUGGGUAAGUAUAUUCAUAUAUCCUCCAUCUCCUUCUUUGAUUUAGAUCUUUGUUUGCCUCCACUCUCAAUAACUUUAUUCCUUGACCUGGAUUUCUCCUUUUCC
Long non-coding RNA from Mauremys mutica (yellowpond turtle), 2131 nucleotides. RefSeq lists it as uncharacterized. The transcript has 3 exons. Lineage: Eukaryota; Metazoa; Chordata; Testudines; Geoemydidae. The record is from RefSeq and is a predicted model, not a curated record.